GAUGAAGAACGUAGCGAAAUGCGAUAAGUAGUGUGAAUUGCAGAAUUCAGUGAAUCAUCGAAUCUUUGAACGCACAUUGCGCCCCAUGGUAUUCCGUGGGGCAUGCCUGUUCGAGCGUCAUUUACCCCCUCAAGCUCCGCUUGGUGUUGGGCGUCUGUCCCGCUUCGCGCGCGGACUCGCCCCAAAGGUAUUGGCAGCGGUCGUGCCAGCUUCUCGCGCAGCACAUUGCGCUUCUCGAGGCACCGGCGGGCCCGCGUCCAUCAAGCUACACCCCCCCAGUUUGACCUCGGAUCAGGUAGGGAUACCCGCUGAACUUAAGCAUAUCAAUAAGCGGAGGA
This 338-nucleotide unclassified non-coding RNA is filed under the name soil metagenome. Its description in RNAcentral is "partial contains 5.8S ribosomal RNA, internal transcribed spacer 2, and large subunit ribosomal RNA". The stretch from base 1 to 120 matches the Rfam family "5.8S ribosomal RNA", at positions 35 to 154 of the family's 154-position model. The record is from RNAcentral.